AUGAGUAGGGCGGGACACGUGGUAUCCUGUCUGAAUAUGGGGGGACCAUCCUCCAAGGCUAAAUACUCCUGACUGACCGAUAGUGAACCAGUACCGUGAGGGAAAGGCGAAAAGAACCCCGGCGAGGGGAGUGAAAAAGAACCUGAAACCGUGUACGUACAAGCAGUGGGAGCACCCUUUGGGGUGUGACUGCGUACCUUUUGUAUAAUGGGUCAGCGACUUAUAUUCUGUAGCAAGGUUAACCGUAUAGGGGAGCCGGAGGGAAACCGAGUCUUAACCGGGCGUUAAGUUGCAGGGUAUAGACCCGAAACCCGGUGAUCUAGCCAUGGGCAGGUUGAAGGUUGGGUAACACUAACUGGAGGACCGAACCGACUAAUGUUGAAAAAUUAGCGGAUGACCUGUGGCUGGGGGUGAAAGGCCAAUCAAACCGGGAGAUAGCUGGUUCUCCCCGAAAGCUAUUUAGGUAGCGCCUCGUGAAUUCAUCUCCGGGGGUAGAGCACUGUUUCGGCUAGGGGGCCAUCCCGGCUUACCAACCCGAUGCAAACUGCGAAUACCGGAGAAUGUUAUCACGGGAGACACACGGCGGGUGCUAACGUCCGUCGUGAAGAGGGAAACAACCCAGACCGCCAGCUAAGGUCCCAAAGUCAUGGUUAAGUGGGAAACGAUGUGGGAAGGCCCAGACAGCCAGGAUGUUGGCUUAGAAGCAGCCAUCAUUUAAAGAAAGCGUAAUAGCUCACUGGUCGAGUCGGCCUGCGCGGAAGAUGUAACGGGGCUAAACCAUGCACCGAAGCUGCGGCAGCGACGCUGAUGCGUUGUUGGGUAGGGGAGCGUUCUGUAAGCCUGCGAAGGUGGCCUGUGAGGGUUGCUGGAGGUAUCAGAAGUGCGAAUGCUGACAUAAGUAACGAUAAAGCGGGUGAAAAGCCCGCUCGCCGGAAGACCAAGGGUUCCUGUCCAACGUUAAUCGGGGCAGGGUGAGUCGACCCCUAAGGCGAGGCCGAAAGGCGUAGUCGAUGGGAAACGGGUUAAUAUUCCCGUACUUGGUGUUACUGCGAAGGGGGGACGGAGAAGGCUAUGUUGGCCGGGCGACGGUU
RNAcentral lists this ribosomal RNA (1091 nucleotides) under Salmonella enterica. RNAcentral's name for it is "bacterial LSU rRNA". It matches the Rfam family "Bacterial large subunit ribosomal RNA", at positions 408 to 1503 of the family's 2925-position model. RNAcentral also lists the same sequence under 1 other name. Lineage: Bacteria; Pseudomonadati; Pseudomonadota; Gammaproteobacteria; Enterobacterales; Enterobacteriaceae. The record is from RNAcentral.